UCCGCCGCGUGCGCGACCUUGCUCCUGCGCCUCCUACCCGGGCUGGACCUCCCCCCGUGCGUCGUCCCCACCCGCAUCACCAAGCUUCCCAACGGCGUCCGCGACUCCGCGUCGCCUCCGAGGAUGUCCAGGUACUACCCACCUCCCCCUCCCCUCUUCCUUCCGAUGAGUCCAUGGCUGACAGCGGCACCGUCUCCGAGCUCACGAACACCUGGAUUUGACAGGGAGCAGCACAGGGAUGGCGAAUUUGGCCGCUCUGCUCUGAUGAUGCCGUUAGAGCACAACUUGCUCGUUCUCAGCAUGAGGAAGAAGAUGAUUUAAAUGUUUUGGAAGGACUAAUCCAGUGAGGAUGGUGGACAAGAAAAUAUAGAAGGAAUGUGUAUGUCAAAACUGAAGAAAAGCAGACCACCUUGGUGGCUCUGUUCUCACAAAAGAAGAUUGUUUACUGUUUCACACAAAAUCGGAUUUUUGCCAGCAACUCAUCCACCUUGGUCUCAUCUUUCGUUGACGACCGAGCAUCAUGUAGCAGUAUCUCUGCGAAAAUCCAUAGAAGUAUCGGAACCGGCUGUGGAUAUGGGAAAAAGAAAAUCCCUAAAAUGCAUCUCUGAAACAAUGGCAUUUUUUCAGUGAAUGAACUAAGGAUAGCAGGUGCCACUGUUCCAGAUUGUACUAAUUCUCUGAAAAUUGAUUUGUUUUUCUGUAGCAAGUUGUCGUAUGAAUUUCAAAAAGGAACUAUUCUCUGAAAAUUGUUUCGUAUUUCUGUAGCAAUUUAUUGUAUAGAUUCUGAACACUGUUCAAGGAAAUCAGCAGCUGCCAUUGUUCGGAGAAUGAGCUAAUUCUCUGAAAAUCGUUUUGUUUUUCUGUAGCAAGUUAAUGUAUGAAAUCUGAAUUUGUUCAAAGAAAUCAGCAGCUGCCCUUAUUUUACAUCAGUUUACCCCCUCUUAGUAGAAAGGAACAACUCAUUUCUCUCGCUACUCCUAAUUUUGUGUUUGUGCUUUUGUGCAGGAGGAGGAAUUGAUUCUCAGACCACAAAAACAACAGAACAACAGGGAUGAUAUUCAGGUUUACAUAUCUCCAUAGGGAAUCGGAACCGGCUGUGGAUGUGGGAAAAAGAAAAUCCCUAAAUGCAUCUCUGAAACAAUGGCAUUUUUUCAGUGAAUGAACUAAGACUAGCAGUUCAUUUUUAUUCUGUUGGGGGAAUCUAUUUUGGACGAAAUUCUGAACACUUUUCAAUGUGAUAGCAGCUGCCACUAUCUCAAGAAUGUACUAUUUCUCUGAAAAUCGCUUUGUUUUUCUGUAGCAAGUUGUCAUAUGAAUUCUGACAGCAAACUGUCAUUUGUUCAAGAAGGAAUUAUUUUCUGAAUUUUUUUUGUAUUUCUGUAGCAAUUUAUUGUAUGAAUUCUGAACACUGUGCAAGGAAAUCAGCAGCUGCCAUUGUUCAGAGAAUGAGCUAAUUCUCUGAACAUCGCUUUGUUUUUC
RNAcentral lists this long non-coding RNA (1479 nucleotides) under Triticum aestivum (bread wheat). RNAcentral's name for it is "long non-coding RNA (TAES_LNC019088)". The record is from RNAcentral. Lineage: Eukaryota; Viridiplantae; Streptophyta; Magnoliopsida; Poales; Poaceae.